This 254-nucleotide ribosomal RNA is filed under the name uncultured prokaryote. RNAcentral's name for it is "partial 16S ribosomal RNA". It matches the Rfam family "Bacterial small subunit ribosomal RNA", at positions 524 to 777 of the family's 1533-position model. The record is from RNAcentral.
UACGGAGGAUGCGAGCGUUAUCCGGAUUUAUUGGGUUUAAAGGGUGCGUAGGCGGCUUCUUAAGUCAGCGGUGAAAUUUUGCAGCUUAACUGUAACAGUGCCGUUGAUACUGGGGAGCUAGGAUUUGGUAGCUGUUGGUGGAAUGUGUGGUGUAGCCGUGAAAUGCUUAGAGAUCACACAGAAUAUCGAUUGCGAAGGCAGCUCACAAAGCCAAGAUUGACGCUGAGGCACGAAAGUGUGGGGAUCAAACAGGA